Molecule: ribosomal RNA, 417 nt
Filed under: Ruptitermes sp. A
Lineage: Eukaryota; Metazoa; Arthropoda; Insecta; Blattodea; Termitidae
Description: partial 12S ribosomal RNA
Source: RNAcentral
CCCUAUUAUUGUGGAGCGUUAAAUUUUUGUGCCUGAGUAGUAUUAGUUAUGUUCUUGAAACUUAAAGAAUUUGGCGGUAUCUUAUUCCAUCCAGAGGAAUCUGUCUCGUUAUCGAUAGUCCGCGUUGGACCUUACUUAGUUGCUUUGGUUUGUAUACCGCCGUUUAUUGAUUAUCUUUUUAGGGUUUAGUUUAAAUUUUCUGGUUUCUUUAUUCUGAUUUAUUUCAGGUCAAGGUGCAGCUUGUUUCUAAGUGGAAUGAUGGAUUACAUUGUUAUUUGUUUAUUUGGAUUAUUGAUUUUAAUAUUGAUGUGAAAUUGGAUUUGGUUGUAAUGUUUUGUAGAUUGUCUACAUGAUAAUUGGUUCUGGGAUAUGUACACAUCGCCCGUCGCUCUCGUUUAUUUGUUAAUGAGAUAAGUC